This is a long non-coding RNA of Piliocolobus tephrosceles (Ugandan red Colobus), 1343 nucleotides long. The record is from Ensembl. Lineage: Eukaryota; Metazoa; Chordata; Mammalia; Primates; Cercopithecidae.
ACAUUAUUAUUUUAUUACAUUAUUAUUAUAUUUUUUUUUUUUUUUUUUAAUGUUGUUGUUUCGGUAAAAACAAAACUAUAAAAUUAUUUAUUGUCCUUUUAUAAAAAAAUUAAUUUUAUUAAUAUUUCUUUUUGUUUAUAUGUACUUUUUUUUUUUUUUUUUUUUUUAUAUACAUCAUUUGCAUUUUUCAGGUUUUUCAUAUUUUAUAAUAAAUUUAAAAUCAUUUUAAAAUAGAUAAAAUGUAUCAAAGAUAUACGUUUUUAUUAUAACAUAAGUAUAUUAAAGCCUUUUUUUCAUUCUUUUUUUUUAUAAGUUAACAUUAAAAAAAUUAACUUUUUAAUUUUUUCUAAAUAUAAAAAAAACUAAAAGUAUAUUUUUAUUUACUUAUAAAAACUAUUUGAAAUAAAAAUUUUGAAAUAGAAACCCACAUAUUGGUUUAGGUAUAUAUAGUUAGAUAUAUAACUAAGCUGUUAGAUAAAUAAUUAGUUAGGUAGUUAGAUAGAUGACUAAUUAAUUACAUAAAUAGAGUGAAUAAAAAUUAUUGAAAAUAAAUAAGCAAUAAACUGUUAAUAAUAUAUAGUGCUCCUAAAAAAAAAAACAAAAAAAAAAAAAACGCAGAGACAAAAAAAUGACUAAAAUCAAUAUUAAAAAUGAGAAAAACAUGUAUUUAAUGGAUACAUUCAAAUUAUAUAACCCAGAUAGAGAAAAUACCGUAUCAAUUGUUAACGAAAAUGAUUAUGAAUGUCUACCACACUCCAUUUAUGUAGAUCGAAGAAAUGUUGAUAUAUUUAAUGUUGAUGUGGCAAAGUAUCAAAAGAGCGAAUACAAAAGAAUUUUUAAUUUAAAUUCACCACAAGUUAUAAACGAACCAAAAUUUGCUGCAGAACCAUCAUACGUCGAAAAAUCAUCAGUAACCAUUUUUUUUUUUUUUUUUUACUUAAUCGUAAAUCGUUUCAUUUGUUUAUUCAAAGGACCAUGUUUUUUUUUUUUAAUGUUUCCUAUAUAUAUACAUGUACAUAUACAUAUACGUAUACAUAUAUUUAUUUUACGCUUGUUAUUUUAUUUUUUUUGGGGAUUUUUGUAGGAUACUGAAAGUGUAAAAAAUGAAAGUGACGAUGACAAUUUAUUGGUUCCAAAAAUAUACUUAAUUUUGAGUUUUUUUUUACCCUUUAUAGGUUUGUUUAAAAAAAAAAUAAUAAUUGAAUAUGUGCGUUAUGUACACACAUUGUUUUGCGUUGUAUAUACAUAUAUAUAUAUAUAUCUACUAUUUAUGUGUUGUGUAAGUACUACAAAUGUGACGUACACAUGUAUAUAAUUUUUUUUUUUUUUUAAUAUACAUUUAU